AGAGAAGGAAACUGUUUAGUCCAACCCAAGGUGGGGUAUUGGAACUGAUCUUUGCUGCUGAAUCAUUGGCUCAUGAGCAUGUCAAAGAAGAUGAUUGAACAUUCUGGACAUGUUCUUGCUCCAAUGAUGCAGGAGCUGAGCUCGGUUUUUCACCGCCUUUUCUUGGACUGAAGGGUUUCCUUCCCUUC
This 188-nucleotide microRNA precursor is filed under the name Solanum lycopersicum (tomato). Its description in RNAcentral is "miR319d stem-loop (sly-MIR319d)". Its record names the gene sly-MIR319d. The record is from miRBase by way of RNAcentral. Lineage: Eukaryota; Viridiplantae; Streptophyta; Magnoliopsida; Solanales; Solanaceae.